This 75-nucleotide transfer RNA is filed under the name Candidatus Omnitrophota bacterium. Its description in RNAcentral is "Candidatus Omnitrophica bacterium tRNA-Ala". It matches the Rfam family "tRNA". Rfam says of the family: Transfer RNA (tRNA) molecules are approximately 80 nucleotides in length. The record is from RNAcentral. Lineage: Bacteria; Pseudomonadati; Candidatus Omnitrophota.
GGGGCUGUAGCUCAGUGGGAGAGCAUCUCGUUCGCAACGAGGGGGUCGGGGGUUCAAAUCCCCCCAGCUCCACCA